This 497-nucleotide ribosomal RNA is filed under the name uncultured bacterium. RNAcentral's name for it is "partial 16S ribosomal RNA". It matches the Rfam family "Bacterial small subunit ribosomal RNA", at positions 28 to 507 of the family's 1533-position model. The record is from RNAcentral.
GAUGAACGCUGGCGGCGUGCCUAAUACAUGCAAGUCGAGCGAACAGACGAGGAGCUUGCUCCUUCGACGUUAGCGGCGGACGGGUGAGUAACACGUAGGUAACCUACCUAUAAGACUGGGAUAACUUCGGGAAACCGGAGCUAAUACCGGAUAAUAUUUCGAACCGCAUGGUUCGAUAGUGAAAGAUGGCUUUGCUAUCACUUAUAGAUGGACCUGCGCCGUAUUAGCUAGUUGGUAAGGUAACGGCUUACCAAGGCAACGAUACGUAGCCGACCUGAGAGGGUGAUCGGCCACACUGGAACUGAGACACGGUCCAGACUCCUACGGGAGGCAGCAGUUGGGAAUCUUCCGCAAUGGGCGAAAGCCUGACGGAGCAACGCCGCGUGAGUGAUGAAGGUCUUCGGAUCGUAAAACUCUGUUAUUAGGGAAGAACAAACGUGUAAGUAACUGUGCACGUCUUGACGGUACCUAAUCAGAAAGCCACGGCUAACUACGUG